Molecule: ribosomal RNA, 400 nt
Filed under: Pseudomonadota bacterium
Lineage: Bacteria; Pseudomonadati; Pseudomonadota
Description: Proteobacteria bacterium (groundwater metagenome) partial 23S ribosomal RNA
Rfam family: Bacterial large subunit ribosomal RNA
Source: RNAcentral
GCUCAUCACAUCCUGGGGCUGGAGCAGGUCCCAAGGGUUUGGCUGUUCGCCAAUUAAAGUGGUACGUGAGCUGGGUUUAAAACGUCGUGAGACAGUUUGGUCCCUAUCUUUCGUGGGCGUAGGAUAUUUGAGAGGAUCUGUUCCUAGUACGAGAGGACCGGAAUGGACGAACCAAUGGUGUUCCAGUUGUCGCGCCAGCGGCAUUGCUGGGUAGCUAAGUUCGGAAUGGAUAACCGCUGAAAGCAUCUAAGCGGGAAGCCAACCUCGAGAUUAGAUAUCCCUCUGUAUGGAAACAUACAGACUGAAGACCCCUUGAAGACUACAAGGUUGAUAGGCCAGGUGUGUAAGCAUAGCAAUAUGUUUAGCUUACUGGUACUAAUAGGUCGUGAGGCUUAGUCAC